CUACGGGGGGCUGCAGUGAGGAAUUUUGCGCAAUGGGGGGAACCCUGACGCAGCAACGCCGUGUGAGUGAAGAAGGCCUUUGGGUCGUAAAGCUCUGUCAACUGGGAAGAAGUUACUGUGCUUUAAUAGAGUGCAGUAUUGACGGUACCAGUGGAGGAAGCGUCGGCCAACUCCGUGCCAGCAGCCGCGGUAACACGGGGGACGCAAGCGUUAUUCGGAAUUAUUGGGCGUAAAGGGCGCGUAGGCGGUCUUGUCGGUCAGGUGUGAAAGCCCGGGGCUCAACCCCGGACGUGCACUUGAAACAGCAAGACUUGAGUACGGGAGAGGAAAGCGGAAUUCCUGGUGUAGAGGUGAAAUUCGUAGAUAUCAGGAGGAACACCGAUGGCGAAGGCAGCUUUCUGGACCGAAACUGAUGCUGAGGCGCGAAGGCGUGGGUAGCGAACGGGAUUAGAUACCCCGGUAGUC
Molecule: ribosomal RNA, 465 nt
Filed under: uncultured bacterium
Lineage: Bacteria
Description: partial 16S ribosomal RNA
Rfam family: Bacterial small subunit ribosomal RNA
Source: RNAcentral